GAUGAACGCUGGCGGCGUGCCUAAUACAUGCAAGUCGAGCGAACAGACGAUGAGCUUGCUCCUCUGACGUUAGCGGCGGACGGGUGAGAAACACGUGUAUAACCUACCUAUAAGACUGGGAUAACUUCGGGAAACCGGAGCUAAUACCGGAUAACAUGCUGAUGCGCAUGGGUCAACAGUGAAAUACGGUCGUGCUGUCACUUAUAGAUGCAUCUGGGCUGCAUUAGCUAGUUGGUAAGGUAACGGGUUACCAAGGGAACGAGGCGUAGCCGACCUGCGAGGGUGAUCGGCCACACUGGAGCUGGGCCACGGUCCAGACGCCUACGGGAGGCAGCAGUAGGGAAUCUUCCGCAGUGGGCGAGAGCCUGACAGAGCAACGCCGCGUGAGUGAAGAAGGUCUUGGGUUCGUAAAGACCUGUUAUUGGGGGAGAACAAAUGUGUAAGUAACUGUACACGUCGUGACGGUAACUAGUCAGGAAGCAACGGCUAACUACGUG
This 497-nucleotide ribosomal RNA is filed under the name uncultured bacterium. RNAcentral's name for it is "partial 16S ribosomal RNA". It matches the Rfam family "Bacterial small subunit ribosomal RNA", at positions 28 to 507 of the family's 1533-position model. The record is from RNAcentral.